CACCAGUCAGGGCUCUACCCAAAUGCCACUUCCUCAGGGAAGACCUCCGGACCUCCCUACAGAGUGUAUGUCCCCAUGGACAUCCUCACUGCCUCUCUGGUGGACUUACCAAGGCCCUGAUUAAAUCAUUGCUGUAUUUAUUUAGUGUCUGAGGGUAGAAGUCAUGUCUGAAAUGCCACCUCGUCUAAUGUGUCCAGAGGAGGCCGGGCAGAUAGAUGGCGCUUCAUCGUGAGUGAGACCGUGAGUGACAGACAGAGGAGGCCGGGUAGAUAGAUGGCGCUUCAUCGUGAGUGAGACUGUGAGUGAGAGAUAGAGGAGGCCGGGCAGAUGGCGCUUCAUCGUGAGUGAGACUGUGAGUGAGAGACAGAGGAGGCCGGGCAGAUAGAUGGCGCUUCAUCGUGAGUGAGACUGUGAGUGAGAGAUAGAGGAGGCCGGGCAGAUAGAUGGCGCUUCAUCGUGAGUGAGACUGUGAGUGAGAGAUAGAGGAGGCCGGGCAGAUAGAUGGCGCUUCAUCGUGAGUGAGAUCGUGAGUGAGAGAUAGAGGAGGCCGGGCAGAUGGCGCUUCAUCGUGAGUGAGACCGUGAGUGAGAGAUAGAGGAGGCCGGGUAGAUAGAUGGCGCUUCAUCGUGAGUGAGAUCGUGAGUGAGAGAUAGAGGAGGCCGGGCAGAUAGAUGGCGCUUCAUCGUGAGUGAGACUGUGAGUGAGAGACAGAGGAGGCCGGGUAGAUAGAUGGCGCUUCAUCGUGAGUGAGACUGUGAGUGAGAGAGGAGGCCGGGCAGAUAGAUGGUGCUUCAUCGUGAGUGAGAUUGUGAGUGAGAGAGGAGGCCGGGCAGAUACACGGCGCCCCAUUGUGAGCCUGUGAUUGAGUGAGUGAGUGAGAUCCUGAGUGAGAUCAUGAGUGAGUGAGAUCAUGAGUGAGUGAGUGAGAUCGUGACUGAGAUCAUGAGUGAGUGAGUGAGAUCAUGAGUGAGUGAGAUUGUGAGUGAGUGAGAUCAUGAGUGAGAUCGUGACUGAGAUCAUGAGUCUGUGAGUGAGAUCAUGAGUGAGUGAGAUCAUGAGUGAGUGAGUGAGAUCGUGAGUGAGAUCAUGAGUGAAAUCGUGACUGAGAUCGUGAGAUCCUGAGUCUGUGAGUGAGUGAAUGAGAUCGUGAGUCAGUGAGAUCGUGAGUGAGAUCGUGAGUGAGAUCAUGAGUGAGUGAGUCUGUGAGUGAAUGAGAUCGUGAGUCUGAGUGAGUGAGAUUGUGAGUGGGAUCAUAAGUGAGUCUGUGAGUGAGUGAGUGAGUCUGAGUGAGUGAGAUCGUGAGUGAGUCUGAGUGAGUGAGAUCGUGAGUGAGUCUGAGUGAGUGAGAUUGGGAGUGGGAUCAUAAGUGAGUCUGUGAGUGAGUGAGUGAGUCUGAGUGAGAGACCUUCCUCUAGGAUCGAGGAGAACAGGAGCAGAAAGAAGAGCUGGAGGUAGGUCCAGGGAACCAGCAGCUGGGGCAUCCCUGUCCCCAUCCCCCCGAGGGCAGAGGCUGACCUGGUCGAGGGCCGUGAGGGCGCAGGGCUGUGUCAGGGCCAGCCUGGAGUCCACUAGCCCGCCCAGCGGCGGCUCCUUCCCCGGGAUGCUGUUGUAGUAAUUGUGCUCCAAAGAGUCCUCCUCGUCCCCCCAGGCCGACUCCUCCGGCCCCGCCAGCCUGGGGGACAGACAACAACGGCCAUGGCACAGGCAGGGCCCAAGGGGGCUAAAGCCUUAUGGCUUGAGCUUCUGGGGGAGCAGGAAAUAUCUGAGUUCGAAUCCCAGCCCCCCACCUGUCACUGAGGGUUCCUACCAGGAAACGCUUCUAGAGCCAGUGACCAGGCCCACUACUUCCUCAUCUAUAAAAUGGAAUGUUGCACACAUUUCCGAGCUGUGGCACAAAAGGCAGGUCGUUGGCAAACCCAGUCUCCACUCCUUUCUGCCCACCUCCGGCCCCGCCCGGCAGCAGAGGACAUG
This 1971-nucleotide long non-coding RNA is filed under the name Pan troglodytes (chimpanzee). RNAcentral's name for it is "long non-coding RNA NONPTRT007878". The record is from RNAcentral. Lineage: Eukaryota; Metazoa; Chordata; Mammalia; Primates; Hominidae.